RNAcentral lists this ribosomal RNA (417 nucleotides) under Triticum aestivum (bread wheat). RNAcentral describes it as "partial small subunit ribosomal RNA". The record is from RNAcentral. Lineage: Eukaryota; Viridiplantae; Streptophyta; Magnoliopsida; Poales; Poaceae.
CUAUGGGCCUAGAUUCUGCGUAAUAAGUACCUUCAAUCCAAAAUCUUGUCCUAGGUGACGGUAAGGCCGACUAAUUCGCCUUUUUGGAAAGGACUGAUGAGAGUGAAAUCAGUAUUUUUUAACAAGACAAAAUUUGUAGUUGGAAAUGGUACUUCCACGAGAUUCAGGGAGGAUACAUGGCUAGGAGAGACGCCCCUUGCACUCCAAUAUCCUUCUCUCUAUAAUUUUGUUCAGCGAAGAGACGCUUACGUUGCAACAGUAUUACAGUCCAAUCCUCUUAAUAUUCAAUUAAGGAGGACGUUAGCAGGAAACCAUUGGGAAGGUUGGCUCCAUCUUGUGAGAAAAUUGAUGGAUGUCCUGUUGGGGAACGUAGUAAUUUCAAAAAAAAAAUCCUACGAUCACGCAAGAUCUAUCUAG